CCGAUGUCCCCAUCGGUGUCCCCAGCUGUGCCCAGAUGUCACCUCCGGGUGUGCCCCGACGGGCCCCCGGAUGUGUCACCCCAGAUGUGGCCUCCAGGUGUGUCCCAAGGGCCACCCAAUGCCUUGCCGUCACCCAUCCAGAUGUUCCCAGUCUGCCCCAGAUGUGACCCACCGCAGCCCCCGUGGAUGUGCCCCAGAUGUCACCGUAGUGUCCCUGAAGUGUCCCCUAAUGGCACCCGCGAGUGUCACCCCGGUGGGCCCGGAUGUGUCCCCCCAAAUGUGUCCUGCGUGGACCCCAUGUCUCCAGAUGUGCCCCAGGUGUGGCCGCCGUCACUGCUGGUGCCACCCAGAUGUGGCCCCGAUCUGGCUCCAGAUGUGGCCCGGACGCUCCCCCGGUGCGGUGCCUGGGCCACGCCCCAAUGUCACCCGUCCUGGUGUCACCCGUCCCACCCUGGUGUCACCCGUCCCACCCUGGUUUCACCCAUCUUGUCCCAUCGUGGUGUCGCCCAUGCCGUCCUGGUGUCACCUGUCCCAUCGCAGUGUCACCCGCCUUGGUGUCACCCGUCCUGCCCCAUCGUGGUGUCACCCAUCCCAUCCUGGUGUCACCUGUCCCACCCCACUGUCAUUUGUCCUGUCCCAUCUGUGUCACCCAUCCAAUCCUGGUGUCACCUGCCCUGGUGUCACCCAUCCCACCCUGGUGUCACCCGCCCCGGUGUCACCCGUUCCAUCACUGGACUCUCUGGGGGCUGCAGGAGGUUUAUUGCCACCGCCAACGUCCCCGAGCGCAGCCGGGGGGCCAGGACUGGGGGGACAGGAGGUC
Molecule: long non-coding RNA, 820 nt
Filed under: Apteryx haastii (Great spotted kiwi)
Lineage: Eukaryota; Metazoa; Chordata; Aves; Apterygiformes; Apterygidae
Description: lncRNA (ENSAHAG00000001488.1)
Source: RNAcentral